This 305-nucleotide ribosomal RNA is filed under the name uncultured bacterium. Its description in RNAcentral is "bacterial SSU rRNA". It matches the Rfam family "Bacterial small subunit ribosomal RNA", at positions 338 to 660 of the family's 1533-position model. The record is from RNAcentral.
CCUACGGGGGGCAGCAGUGGGGAAUAUUGCACAAUGGGGGAAACCCUGAUGCAGCGACGCCGCGUGAGUGAGGAAGUAUUUCGGUAUGUAAAGCUCUAUCAGAAGGGAAGAAAAUGACGGUACCUGACUAAGAAGCCCCGGCUAACUACGUGCCAGCAGCCGCGGUAAUACGUAGGGGGCAAGCGUUAUCCGGAUUUACUGGGUGUAAAGGGAGCGUAGACGGAUAAGCAAGUCUGAUGUGAAAAUCCGGGGCCCAACCCCGGAAUUGCAUUGGCAACUGCAUAUCUAGAGUGUCGGAGAGGCAG